GAUGAACGCUGGCGGCGUGCCUAAUACAUGCAAGUCGAGCGAACAGAUAAGGAGCUUGCUCCUUUGACGUUAGCGGCGGACGGGUGAGUAACACGUGGGUAACCUACCUAUAAGACUGGAAUAACUCCGGGAAACCGGGGCUAAUGCCGGAUAACAUUUAGAACCGCAUGGUUCUAAAGUGAAAGAUGGUUUUGCUAUCACUUAUAGAUGGACCCGCGCCGUAUUAGCUAGUUGGUAAGGUAACGGCUUACCAAGGCAACGAUACGUAGCCGACCUGAGAGGGUGAUCGGCCACACUGGAACUGAGACACGGUCCAGACUCCUACGGGAGGCAGCAGUAGGGAAUCUUCCGCAAUGGGCGAAAGCCUGACGGAGCAACGCCGCGUGAGUGAUGAAAGUCUUCGGAUCGUAAAACUCUGUUAUUAGGGAAGAACAAAUGUGUAAGUAACUGUGCACGUCUUGACGGUACCUAAUCAGAAAGCCACGGCUAACUACGUG
RNAcentral lists this ribosomal RNA (497 nucleotides) under uncultured bacterium. Its description in RNAcentral is "partial 16S ribosomal RNA". It matches the Rfam family "Bacterial small subunit ribosomal RNA", at positions 28 to 507 of the family's 1533-position model. The record is from RNAcentral.